RNAcentral lists this ribosomal RNA (253 nucleotides) under uncultured bacterium. RNAcentral describes it as "partial 16S ribosomal RNA". It matches the Rfam family "Archaeal small subunit ribosomal RNA", at positions 474 to 727 of the family's 1478-position model. The record is from RNAcentral.
UACCAGCACCCCGAGUGGUCGGGACGUUUAUUGGGCCUAAAGCAUCCGUAGCCGGUUCUACAAGUCUUCCGUCAAAUCCAGCUGCUUAACAGAUGGGCUGCGGAAGAUACUAUGGAGCUAGGAGGCGGGAGAGGCAAGCGGUACUCGAUGGGUAGGGGUAAAAUCCGUUGAUCCAUUGAAGACCACCAGUGGCGAAGGCGGCUUGCCAGAACGCGCUCGACGGUGAGGGAUGAAAGCUGGGGGAGCAAACCGG